UACAAUGGUUUAUUUAUUCCUACCACAAAAUUUCACCAAGUCAGCCAAAAUUAAACCCCUAUACAUAAAACAAUCCUUUUUAACAUUAAUUUUCCACCACAAAAUUUCACUAAGACCGCCACUACUACUACUCCGACCAAAAGUUCACCUAAGCCCGAUAAAUCACCAUACUCCGACCACAAUAAUAGAACUCUUCCUUAAAUGACCAACAUUUUAAUCCUUCAAAUGAAGUCGUACGAAAAGAACCCAUCACCCUCUCCUCCUCUCUGACCACGAUCAAAUUACUAUGCCUAUGCUGCAAACCUGAACCCGAACCUAUCACUCUCUUCUUCUUUUCCUUCGUCGCUCUUGUGUAGUCGCUGCUCCAACAUUACCAAAUUCUAAUCUUUCAAAAAAUUCAGUGUCAACUGACAGACUAUGAAAAUGAUUCAACGGUCUAGGGUUUUGAUCAGCACCAACCAAUAUAGAAAAAUCGAGUUCGGUUGAAGAUGAGUCAGCCAAAUUACAGGUCCAAUCCCUUCCCAACUCAGAACACUUCUAGAAUUUGAAAAGUGCGACCAUCGUACUUCAAUUUCAAAGUUUCUCCAACUUCAGCUCCUUCACUGCUUCGACAACCACUUUAAAUUCACUUCAACUUCUGAGAAAAUUUGGGAUUUUCUUCUUUAAUUUGGUGACUUUAAGGAUUGUUGAAAGAUUUCAAGAUGAUUAUUGAGCAUGAAGUAUUGCUAUAAAUUUCUAUGAAUUAAAGCAUGGACUCUAAGUCUUAAGUACAAGUAUUGAGUUUACAAGAAGAUUACGCUCUUAAGAUCCAUUGACAAGUCUUAUAACAUGAUUUAAAGCAAAGCUUGAUCCUUUGAUCUAAAGAUAAGAUAUGAAUUCCACAAUUGUAUAUCUUGAUUAUGAUUUAAAGAAAGAAAAGCAUAAUUUAUUUUCAGUCUAUAAGCCCGUAUGCUAUUUUAAGAUGGAUUUCUUAAAUUAUGAGCGUAUAAGUAUUCUGGGAGUAGUAUUUAGCAUUGAAAAAGGAAUGUGGAUGAGCGUAUCCUUAAUUCCUAAAAACUACGAGCCAACGAAGGUUAAGAUUUUUUCUUAAUAUGGAUGAAGUUCAAUGAUCACUUAAGAUUAAGGUUCUAUUAUAAUGGCAAGGGUAGAACAACUCUUCCCAAUGUGGGUAAGACACUGGACUCCAUAAUAGCUUACAUGGUUUAUGUCGGUUAGAAGAAACUCCCAAAAGAAAGAAUAGUAAGUAAAGCUUUUACAACUAAGUGUUAUGGCUCACAAAGUUUAUCCUUAUGCUUCAUUACUCAUGUUUAUGAUUUUACAGUCUUUGUUUUAUUCAUGCUUAAGGUGAUUCAUUUACACUUAGCAUGCAUUAUUGAAAGUUUAUAUGAAUAUUUAGUUAUUAUUUUACUCGUGCAUUCACCCCCACAUACUCAGUAUAUUCCAGAAGUACUGACCCAUAUAUACGUCUAUGUGGCUACAUUGUUUCAUAAUCUAGGUACCAGUUGUAGCCCACACAUCAUAAUCAGAUAGCUCACAAUUUUCAGCCAGCAGGUGAUAAGUUCUUUUGAUUUGAGGACUUGAGUCAAUUAUAGUUUUAGUAUCAUUAUUUAUUCAGUCGUAUUGACUAGGGAUAGCUUGGAGUCAUGUCCUGGCUACCUAUAGUCAGUACUAAUAAAGGCUUCAUAGACUGUCAUUUAGAGUUGAUGUAUUUACUUUCAGUUUUGUUUUGUAUGAUAAAAGUUUAAAUAUUUUAAACAGUUUUAGAUUGAAAAUAUUUAGCAAAGACAUUUUUUCUGAUUAUUUCUUUUAGAUUUAUGUAAAAUAUUCAGUUGCUUACGAGUUAUGCAAGUACCAUGGGUUAGCUUUGGAUCACUUGUGGUUCUAAGAACCAUGUGCCGUCCAGGGGUAGUCUCAAGGUGUUACAUCCAUCCAAUUUAUGAUAACAAUCACCAAAUAUUACAAAAACAUGCUAUAGUUGGGGUACCUACAAUCCAUGUUGAAAAUGUUGAUGAAUUGAAGUGGUUUAAUUCUUCAUAUUUUCCUGAUUUGCGGUAGCUAGAAUCUGUUCACUGCUUAAUUCUUGCAAAGUGUCAAUUAUUUCAUAGUUGUUCACUCUCAAAUGCUUAUGUUUGAUAUUUGCAUAUUUCAACCUUCUGUAGGGGCUGGGGUAUGGGUGAAUCACCAUUUCCUUCACCCUCAUAGCUAUAAAUCUUUUUAGCUCACAUCAUUCAUGCAAGGAAACAAAGAGUAACCUUUUUAAAAUGGAAUUUGGAUCUAUAAAAGUUAAUUUGAGUGGGAAUAUCUAUUCAAAAAGGACCUCUAGGACAUAAAUUUGGCUUGUGUUGGGUAGAUAAAUGUCACAAACCAAACUAGAAGUCGUGAGUGGUACAUAAUGGGCUUAAUUUCAUAUUAAUGAACUAACUUCUCUCUAGCAAAACUCUGGAUAACCAUUAACCAGUUUAAUGAUUUGCAUCAUCUAAGUUAUCACACAGACACAACAUUUAUUCUUUCAACUGAAAUAAAACAAACCAUCAUGAAGCUGUUACAGUUCUCAAAACACUAAUAUAGUCCUUGAUCUUGUCAUGGAGAGCAUUGAGCACUUCAGAAAAUCUGGAAAGACAAAAUAAAAACUUAGCUUUUGUGAGUGUUAAAUUUUCUUUUGAAUACAUAUUUUACAUUUAUGCUUGUUUAUAUCAUUUUAAUCAUUUUCAUUUAAAAAUUUAUUCUAAAUUAGUACACCUUCUUCAUUAAUUGUCCAGCAUAUUUUGGUGUUGAUUAGUUUUCCUUUGAGAAAAUAUGCUUACCUCUCGGUGUUUGUAGGAAAAGUAUAGGGUUAAGAAACAAAAUAAAUAUGCACCUCGAGUACUAUUGAGGCAUCCCUUUGCACGAAGGUAGACUCCUGCCUUUAAAUUUCUUUUGUUAUUUUGGAGUUCUCAAUUUUUAGACUUUCUAUUUUCCCUUCAUCUAUAAGUUGAUCUUUGGGGAAGGGGAGGCGGGAGAUGAGAUUGGAUAAUGUCUCUUUUCCAUUUCUUUUGUUUCUAGCUUAGUAGCUAGAACUCUAUUAAUGGUAAUGUAAUCAAAAUUAAACAAGUAACUUCCACUGCAAAAUGUAGCCUGACGGUCCCAAGUGGAAGAAGUCAGUAUUUCUUAGUUGAGUAAUGAUAUCCAGUAACUGUCAAUUUGUUCUUAUACCAUACCACUUCAUUGAUGUUGGAACACUCAGUUUUUAUGUGAACUUUUGAGUAUGUCAUCUUACUUUUUUUUGAUAAGUAAAGAUUUUUAGGGCUCGUGUAGAUUGAUUGCAUUUUACUUUUUAUUCAGGUGAUAUUUUUGUUUCAAUCAUACACAGUGGUAGUUCUUCUUCAAUUUUUAAGCACUAUUGUUCUUUGAAUCACAUAAAUGAUAGUUCUUCAUUUAAUUUCUGAACUAUCCCCAAGAAACUAGUGGUGAUGUCAGUAGUAGAAAGUUGUAAUGCUUUAUUUGGUUUCUAGUUGCAAAUAUCCUAGUUGUUGUUGUUCCUUGAUCUUUUCUAUUUUUCUAACAUAUACCUUAAAUUUUUUAGCAUUUGUGAGGCCUACUUCAAUAAACAUCCUGACAAAAUUGGGUAAUAUGAUCUUUUUUUGUAUUUGAUUAAUUAUCUUCAUUUAUUGUUUUCUGGUUAUGAUUUACCUUUUUGAUCGGAAGGAACUAUAGAUAGGCUUUGAUUACAUAUUUUAGAAUCAAAAAAUAUUAAAAUCUGAGAUAUUCUCCUUGAUGUUAUUUGUUGUUGGUAUGGCAGUGCUCAUGGAAGUGAAGAAUGCAAAUAGAUUUGCAGUCCAGAUGUUUGUUGUAGUCUAAUCACCCUAAGUUUUAUACCUUGCUCAUUUUUCUUUGAAUGAUUCUUGGUUUUGGAGACAUGGGGGUUGAUUUUAUAUUCUCUUGAUUCCAUCAGGUUCAUGCGAGUGGAUGCACUAUCUCUAUUGCUAUGCUUGGAGAAUGUUACUAUAAAUGCAGAUGUACUUAUAGUAGACAUGGUUGGUGGUAUUCUUACUGGUGCUAUUGCAGAACGACUAGGAGGUGUUCAAAAUGAAGGAGAUGAAGAAAGAAGUGAUGAAGAAAUUGACCUUACUUGAGAAGAUUUUUGAAUUGUUGAUAGAUGCUUUAAUAUUAAUCUUUUUGAUAUUGACUUUCGUGAAACUUAUCGCCACUCGAAUUUGAUACUUUGUGGGAAAACUAAUGAUCAUUUGACUUUAAACA
Capsicum annuum is the source of this 4236-nucleotide long non-coding RNA. RefSeq lists it as uncharacterized. NCBI's taxonomy places the organism in Eukaryota, Viridiplantae, Streptophyta, Magnoliopsida, Solanales, Solanaceae. The transcript has 3 exons. The record is from RefSeq and is a predicted model, not a curated record.